GAAAAUGAGUCCCUUACAGGGACAAAAGGAAGUAUUUUGAGUGCUCAAAUCCUGUUCCAAUUUGUGUCCCUCUGAAGCCUGAGGAACUACCCUGCCCCUCGGUGGCAUGCAGUUCAGAUUUGCUGGACUUAGGACCACAUUUGUGGUUUACAAUGGCUGCUUAGUGCUGCUCCACACUUGCCUUUAUAUCCCUCUGAAGAAGGACUCAUUAAGCUACUAUACAGGGCAUUUGAGUUGGUGACCCUGGGCAUGAUUGUGAUAUACCUGGAACCUGGCUCUCUGAAGAAAAAAAAGUCCUGAUUUGUAGAGUUUGCCAAAUUCCAUGUGUCACUGAUUCGUGUUUAUGGAGCACCUACCAUGUACAAAACUCUUCCAGAAUCUACGGGAAGCCAAAUGACUCUGCUGGCCCGCACCACACUUACAGACUGCUAAGAGAACUAAGAGGAGGAUGGAGGGACAGAAUCUUCUGGAAGGGACUCUGGGAAAGCUUCAUAAAAGAGCGUUCACUGGAGAUGAGCCUUGAAGAGAUUAGGAUCUGAGCGGGGCCCAGCCCAAGCCCUGGGGGGAAGCACAUGGCCCAGGCCCGCAUCAACGAACAUGUGGCACUCCCCCUCCCCCAGUGACUGACUUACAGCAGGCCACGUGAUACAAGAAGACAAUCAGCUUGAACUUUGGGACUUCUGCAGAGAAAACUAGGACAGAGAACUUUCAUAUUUUCCCAUGGCACAUUAUCCUGAAAGGAUUUAGCCCUGGAACCUUCUGAUGGCCUUCUUGAAGGAAAAGAGAGUCUUAGAACGGAAGUAAUAUAAAGGAAGAGGACCUAAGAGAUGGAGACAGUGAAACCAGAUCCGGAGAACACUGACAAAGCCAGAUGUCCUCCUGGACACCUGUUACACACGCUAACAAAUCUCCC
This 913-nucleotide long non-coding RNA is filed under the name Equus caballus (horse). RNAcentral's name for it is "lncRNA (ENSECAG00000028387.3)". The record is from RNAcentral. Lineage: Eukaryota; Metazoa; Chordata; Mammalia; Perissodactyla; Equidae.